ACAUCACAUUGAAACACCGAUUCUCAUAUGAUCACUAAAGUUAAGCAACAUUGAGUCUGAUCAGUACCUAGAUGGGUGAUCACUUGGGUAUAACAGGUGUUGUAA
Non-coding RNA from Acanthosepion pharaonis, 105 nucleotides. Lineage: Eukaryota; Metazoa; Mollusca; Cephalopoda; Sepiida; Sepiidae. The record is from the annotation of a GenBank genome assembly.